The sequence is a small nuclear RNA, 154 nucleotides long. Its record names the gene U12. It matches the Rfam family "U12 minor spliceosomal RNA". Rfam says of the family: Although the U12 sequence is very divergent from that of U2, the two are functionally analogous. The record is from Ensembl.
AUGCCUUAAACUGAUGAGUAAGGAAAAUAACGAUGCGGGGUGACGCCCGCGUCCCUCGUCAACUUACGAGAGCAAUUUUUGUAAGGGCACAGGUCCGGCCGCUGAGGUGACUCACCUACUCUGUGAGAUGCCUCGCGGCGCAAGGAUCUGCCCC